This 46-nucleotide non-coding RNA is filed under the name Schistosoma mattheei. Lineage: Eukaryota; Metazoa; Platyhelminthes; Trematoda; Strigeidida; Schistosomatidae. The record is from RNAcentral.
ACACUGCUGAGGAGUGCCAUACUAGGACGAAACGGCCGUCCAGUGC